RNAcentral lists this ribosomal RNA (496 nucleotides) under uncultured bacterium. Its description in RNAcentral is "partial 16S ribosomal RNA". It matches the Rfam family "Bacterial small subunit ribosomal RNA", at positions 28 to 507 of the family's 1533-position model. The record is from RNAcentral.
GAUGAACGCUGGCGGCGUGCCUAAUACAUGCAAGUAGAACGCUGAAGGAGGAGCUUGCUCUUUCCGGAUGAGUUGCGAACGGGUGAGUAACGCGUAGGUAACCUGCCUGGUAGCGGGGGAUAACUAUUGGAAACGAUAGCUAAUACCGCAUAACAGUAGAUAUUGCAUGAUAUUUGCUUGAAAGGGGCAAUUGCUCCACUACCAGAUGGACCUGCGUUGUAUUAGCUAGUUGGUGAGGUAACGGCUCACCAAGGCGACGAUACAUAGCCGACCUGAGAGGGUGAUCGGCCUCACUGGGACUGAGACACGGCCCAGACUCCUACGGGAGGCAGCAGUAGGGAAUCUUCGGCGAUGGACGGAAGUCUGACCGAGCAACGCCGCGUGAGUGAAGAAGGUUUUCGGAUCGUAAAGCUCUGUUGUAAGAGAAGAACGAGUGUGAGAGUGGAAAGUUCACACUGUGACGGUAUCUUACCAGAAAGGGACGGCUAACUACGUG